This is a non-coding RNA of Castor canadensis (American beaver), 2389 nucleotides long. Lineage: Eukaryota; Metazoa; Chordata; Mammalia; Rodentia; Castoridae. The record is from RefSeq and is a predicted model, not a curated record.
AGUUUGAAGGAAGAAAGACUUCCAAAAGAAUCAACCAAGUCUACUGAGGCACAGUUUGACUCAAAAGGAUCCAACUGCUUAGCAAAUGGAAAAUAACACUGUGGAGCAUUGACUGCAUUUGAAUACACCAGAAACUAAAAUACCACACUAUCCAGUUCAAUACAGGACACCUGGCAACCCCAUUUCAGACAACCAGAUACAAGCCAACCAAAGCUGCCUUCAAAGGGAAGACACCUAGGGAGGGAAGAUGAUGCUGAUUAAGAAAUAGCCUUGAAGGAUGGCAAAGUGGUUCAAAUGGUAGAGUGCUUGCCUAGCAAGUAUGAAGCUUGGGGUUCAAACCCUAGCACCACCGUCACCAAGAAGAAACAACCUCAACGAGGGUCAAGCUUGCUCUGAGGCUAGGAGGUGAGAGCUGGUGUGGGGAAUACAUUAAAAAUGCUUUAAAACUUGCUACUUUGAGUUUGGGGAUUUGAAUUUACUGUCUUUUAAAACUUUACAAAGUGAGAAAGAUGUCAGUUUUUCUGGACUGUGGAAAUGAGAGCCUUAUCUAGAAUCAUAACUUAAUGCUUUUUCUCUCUCAAUUUAGUGGCUAGAUCGAUUAACCACACAUAUUUUUCUUAAUCCUUAUCAUUUAUUACACAAUUGAUUUUCCCCAAAAGAGCCAAUUUCCAGUCUCUUAAAAAGCACCCUUGGAAUGCUGUCCACAUUCACUAUUAAAAUAGCGUUGCUACUGGAGGAGGGAUGAGGGGCUCCCACAGCGUUCCAGUAUCCACGCAAAAUCACAGGUCCUUGAGGUUCACCUGGCAAACUCUUCUUCAGGUUUGACUUUCGCGAUGUCGUGGCUCAGUAUUCGCUAAGCUAGUUCCGGACUGUUCUUGUACCUUUUGGACGUACCGUACUGCGGACUUGUUCUGUGCAACUGAAAAUAUCCUAAUGCGUUGUGCAUGUUUAAAUUUCAAUUUCUGGACAGUUUCAGUCCGGCGGGUUUAUCGACAAGGUAACAAGUGAGGGGCAAAGCAAACGCAGCAACUGGUGCGCGCGCGCCCUCUGCCGGCCGUCCACGCGCACGGGCGCCGGCAUGGCCCUGGCACCUCUUGGUCUGGAUGUGCGCGAGCAAAACUUGCGCUUUGCCUUCCUUUCCGCCCGUUCCAAUAGAUCAAGCAAUGGGCUUUUAGCGCUUUUAGGAGAUAAUGCACAGUGCUUCGGCCUGGACAAAGACAAAGACAAAUGAAAGCGUCCCAGCCAUAAAGGAUCUCACAGAAUAAUGGGGCAUGCAUCAGAGCGUCCGGAUGCCACUUGAGAGGUUAACACUGAUCCUGCCCCCUCAAGUCCCCACUAGUUUACCACCCCAAGUUUACGAAGAGCCCCAGUCACACAGCACAGCACACUGAUCUUUUGUUAGGACUGGUGACUCAUUCGAGCAUUUUCUCUGUGCACGGCCAGUGGGUGCUACCUUGGAGACCGGGGGAGCCUGAGGAGGAAGACACCAGGGGCUAUGGAGAAAGCUCAAUUUCACCGGGAAAAGACGGAAAUUAAGAACAGGGGAAGAGGGUAUCGAUUCGUUUUGAUGUUCAAUUAAUAAGUGCAUUUAAAACAUACUACCAAGACUUCUGGAACUUUUUCUAACAAAGUUCUAGCUUAUUUUCCCACUAGAUCUUGUUGGAUUUUUUAAAAAUCCGGUCAUGUUUUUCAAACUAGGCCAGGAGGUCCCCUCGAUUUCUAAAGUGAAAAAAGUUUGCUCCUUUUCUGAAAUUUUCUCAGGUUCUGGAAAUACACAGCUUUUACUUAACUCUGUUUCCUCCAGCAAUGAUUCCUUUUUAUUUUAGAGAAAAUUCUGCUGGUAACAUGCCCAGUAUACUAGCUGGGAGGAAAAAUAACUUGGAAAAGAAAAGCAUGUUUUUCUUAAUUUCUUUUCAAAACACUAGAGGGGACAAAAUAAAGAAAGUAGAGAAAUAAAUUACCCAAUGCAAUCAUCAUUCUGGACCAUAGCCUAAAGGAAUAUCCAUCUUAACAUCAGAAGGUGGAGGUAAUUACCAAUAAGGGCAUCUGAUGAAUCCCCUCUAAAAUGGUUCUUAUGAAGAGGGCAGUUCAGAAAAUCUAUGCAAAACAAAAGGAGGGAGGAAGGGAGGGAGGGAAGGAAAAACAAAAGCCUCAUGAGAGUAGAGAAGGCAAAAGACAAGAAGAAAGGAGAAUGCUGGGGGAAAGAGAACUGGGAAUCAAAAAUGGACAGUCAUGAGGCAGGUGUUUGCACAAUCCUGAGAAUCUUAAAUUUCCAACUCAAAUUUAGGAAAUACUUAUUUUUGAAAAAGGCAGGCAAUGCAGAAGUGCAUAAGCUAAAAAAGUACAAGCACACUUUUAAAGCCCACACACAACACAUACCCACCACAUA